GAAGGGGGGCUAGCGUUGUUCGGAAUUACUGGGCGUAAAGCGCGCGUAGGCGGAUUGUUAAGUCAGGGGUGAAAUCCCGAGGCCCAACCUCGGAACUGCCCUUGAUACUGGCAAUCUUGAGUCCGGGAGAGGUGAGUGGAAUUCCUAGUGUAGAGGUGAAAUUCGUAGAUAUUAGGAAGAACACCAGUGGCGAAGGCGGCUCACUGGCCCGGUACUGACGCUCAUGUGCGAAAGCGUGGGGAGCAAACAGGGAUUAGAUACCCUGGUAGUCCACGCCGUAAACGAUGAAUGCUAGCCCGUCGGUCAGCAUGCUGGUCGGUGGCGCAGCUAACGCAAUAAGCAUUCCCGCCUGGGAGUACGGUCGCAAGAUUA
RNAcentral lists this ribosomal RNA (372 nucleotides) under uncultured organism. Its description in RNAcentral is "partial 16S ribosomal RNA". It matches the Rfam family "Bacterial small subunit ribosomal RNA", at positions 526 to 896 of the family's 1533-position model. The record is from RNAcentral.